UACGAAGGGGGCUAGCGUUGUUCGGAAUUACUGGGCGUAAAGGGCGCGUAGGCGGCGUGUCAAGUCAGGCGUGAAAGCCCCGGGCUCAACCUGGGAACCGCGCUUGAAACUGUUCGGCUCGAGUCCGGGAGAGGGUAGUGGAAUUCCCAGUGUAGCGGUGAAAUGCGUAGAUAUUGGGAGGAACACCGGUGGCGAAGGCGGCUACCUGGACCGGUACUGACGCUGAGGCGCGAAAGCUAGGGUAGCAAACAGG
Molecule: ribosomal RNA, 253 nt
Filed under: uncultured bacterium
Lineage: Bacteria
Description: partial 16S ribosomal RNA
Rfam family: Bacterial small subunit ribosomal RNA
Source: RNAcentral